GACGAAGGAUCCAAGCGUUAUCCGGAUUCAUUGGGAUUAAAGGGAGCGUAGGCGGACUUAUAAGUCAGGGGUGAAAUCCUGGAGCUCAACUCCAGAACUGCCUUUGAUACUGGGAAGCUCGAGUCCGGGAGAGGUGAGUGGAACUCCGAGUGUAGAGGUGAAAUUCGUAGAUAUUCGGAAGAACACCAGUGGCGAAGGCGGCUCACUGGCCCGGUACUGACGCUGAGGUGCGAAAGCGUGGGGAGCAAACAGG
This 253-nucleotide ribosomal RNA is filed under the name uncultured prokaryote. RNAcentral's name for it is "partial 16S ribosomal RNA". It matches the Rfam family "Bacterial small subunit ribosomal RNA", at positions 524 to 776 of the family's 1533-position model. The record is from RNAcentral.